This 28-nucleotide non-coding RNA is filed under the name Drosophila melanogaster (fruit fly). The record is from RNAcentral. Lineage: Eukaryota; Metazoa; Arthropoda; Insecta; Diptera; Drosophilidae.
UAGAUGUGGCCUGAAGAUGAUUUUCCGC